This 465-nucleotide ribosomal RNA is filed under the name uncultured bacterium. RNAcentral's name for it is "bacterial SSU rRNA". It matches the Rfam family "Bacterial small subunit ribosomal RNA", at positions 330 to 792 of the family's 1533-position model. The record is from RNAcentral.
UCCAGACUCCUACGGGAGGCAGCAGUGAGGAAUAUUGGUCAAUGGGCGCGAGCCUGAACCAGCCAAGUCGCGUGAGGGAUGACGGCCCUACGGGUUGUAAACCUCUUUUGCCGGGGAGCAACGGGCGCCACGUGUGGCGCCACUGAGAGUACCCGGAGAAAAAGCAUCGGCUAACUCCGUGCCAGCAGCCGCGGUAAUACGGAGGAUGCGAGCGUUAUCCGGAUUUAUUGGGUUUAAAGGGUGCGUAGGCGGUCCGUUAAGUCAGCGGUAAAAUUGCGGGGCUCAACCCCGUCGAGCCGUUGAAACUGGCAGACUUGAGUUGGCGAGAAGUACGCGGAAUGCGCGGUGUAGCGGUGAAAUGCAUAGAUAUCGCGCAGAACUCCGAUUGCGAAGGCAGCGUACCGGCGCCAGACUGACGCUGAGGCACGAAAGCGUGGGGAUCGAACAGGAUUAGAUACCCUAGUA